GUGAAAUUUUGAUCACCGAGGUCAUUAUUAUUUUCUAUAAAAAAAGCUGCUAUUCAAAUAAUUGGUCUUGGCUAUUAAAGGUUUUCUCCCCUAAUUUCAUUUUGGACACGUAACAUUGGUCCCGUGAGAAAAUUUAUAGCGAAUCUCAUUGAACUAAUGAAGACUAUUAUUCAGAAAAUGACUGUAUUGACGACGCUAUGCCCAAGCUUGCUAGUAUAUUAUUUUUUUACAGCUCUUAGCCACUACCUAUCCUCAACCAGAUUGUUCAUAGAUAUAAAUUAGAUUCUCUAAAAUCUAUCUAAAUUUAACAAAAAUAAAGAUUUAUGAAAUUACAAUAAUUUUCUCUUGUAUUUGUCCUGGAAAUAUUUGGCCACGGUGCAUUCCACGGUCUGACCAUUCUCUAAUUGGAGUGGAAAUCUGUCGUAAUCAAUAUUAAGCUGUGAGUAGAAGAUGGUUCGAAAAGGCUAAAUAUGGUAGGUAAAUCAACUAGCAAAAAUAGUGUAUGAUAUUGAUAAAAAUAUUUUCAUCGAAAAUCGAUCCAGAAACAAAUUAUAAUAGUG
Long non-coding RNA from Gordionus sp. m RMFG-2023, 560 nucleotides. RefSeq lists it as uncharacterized. NCBI's taxonomy places the organism in Eukaryota, Metazoa, Nematomorpha, Gordioida, Chordodea, Parachordodidae. The record is from RefSeq and is a predicted model, not a curated record. The transcript is spliced from 4 exons.